This 445-nucleotide ribosomal RNA is filed under the name uncultured bacterium. RNAcentral's name for it is "partial 16S ribosomal RNA". It matches the Rfam family "Bacterial small subunit ribosomal RNA", at positions 354 to 796 of the family's 1533-position model. The record is from RNAcentral.
GUGAGGAAUAUUGGUCAAUGGGCGGGAGCCUGAACCAGCCAAGUCGCGUGAAGGAAGAAGGACCUAUGGUUCGUAAACUUCUUUUGCAGGGGAAUAAAGUGCAGGACGUGUCCUGUUUUGUAUGUACCCUGAGAAUAAGGAUCGGCUAACUCCGUGCCAGCAGCCGCGGUAAUACGGAGGAUCCGAGCGUUAUCCGGAUUUAUUGGGUUUAAAGGGUGCGUAGGUGGUUUGAUAAGUCAGCGGUGAAAGUUUGCAGCUUAACUGUAAAAAUGCCGUCGAAACUGUCGGACUUGAGUGUAAAUGAGGUAGGCGGAAUGCGUGGUGUAGCGGUGAAAUGCAUAGAUAUCACGCAGAACUCCGAUUGCGAAGGCAGCUUGCCAAGCCACAACUGACACUGAAGCACGAAAGCGUGGGGAUCAAACAGGAUUAGAAACCCUUGUAGUCC